This 440-nucleotide ribosomal RNA is filed under the name uncultured bacterium. Its description in RNAcentral is "partial 16S ribosomal RNA". It matches the Rfam family "Bacterial small subunit ribosomal RNA", at positions 338 to 795 of the family's 1533-position model. The record is from RNAcentral.
CCUACGGGAGGCAGCAGUGGGGAAUAUUGCACAAUGGGGGAAACCCUGAUGCAGCGACGCCGCGUGAAGGAAGAAGUAUUUCGGUAUGUAAACUACUAUCAGCAGGGAAGAAAAUGACGGUACCUGACUAAGAAGCCCCGGCUAACUACGUGCCAGCAGCCGCGGGAAUACGGAGGGGGCAAGCGUUAUCCGGAUGUACUGGGUGUAAAGGGAGCGUAGGCGGCGAUGCAAGUCAGAAGUGAAAGCCCGGGGCUCAACUCCGGGACUGCUUUUGAUACUGUGUUGCUAGAUUGCAGGAGAGGUAAGUGGAAUUCCUGGUGUAGCGGUGAAAUGCGUAGAUAUUAGGAGGAACACCAGUGGCGAAGGCGGCUUACUGGACUGUAAAUGACGCUGAGGCGCGAAAGCGUGGGGAGCAAACAGGAUUAGAUACCCCAGUAGUC